Long non-coding RNA from Diachasmimorpha longicaudata, 828 nucleotides. RefSeq lists it as uncharacterized. The transcript is spliced from 3 exons. Lineage: Eukaryota; Metazoa; Arthropoda; Insecta; Hymenoptera; Braconidae. The record is from RefSeq and is a predicted model, not a curated record.
GGUGAACCCUCGCAUGAACCUGGCCGAGGAACAGGUGGUAGACAGCGUACAUAAGUAAAUGAAACGCAGUACUCGGGGGCAUUAGAGCGUAGCGUCCACGGGGACAAAAACAAUUGCACUAAAAUAAAAUAAAAGGAGAUAGCCUUAGCCAAGGUGGUGGUGGUGGUGGCGGUUGAUCACGUGAACGAGAAAUAGUAGUUUGCACGUUGGCUUGAAAAUAUCAUUGUGGGGUACCAGGGGGCUCCGUGAUGUUUGUCCGUCAUUCUGCCGUGAUGAUUGGAUUUUACUCGGAACAAUCGGACAUAAUUUCACCUUAUAUCAUCGUUGAAUGAGUAAAAACAGGCAUUUUACGGGGAAUCUCCCGACACCCAUCGAACACACAGUCUCAUUGGAACUUCCGGUGUUGAAGCAGAGAACAGGGGGCGAGAUACACACAAAUGUCUGGAUGGGGGAGGAGUGAGAGAACCUUCUGCGUAUGCAUUUGGCCUUUGUGUGCCUCCCAUGGCUAUAUAUGCCAAGCCUGAACUCGAGGAUACUCUUCUGAAUGUAAUGAACGACGUGGAAUGUACAUAACACCAUUCAGUGAUGAAUUUCGUGCUUUGAACCGGGAAUUUUUAAUUUAAUUCUCGAGAAAUUUAUAUGAGAGUACUGAAAAAAACAUGACACGUCUUGCCUUUCCAUUUCUCUUGAUAUUCGCUGAAUUAACUUCGUUGAAGCGGAUAUUCACAUUUAUAUUUCAAGAAAGUCAAAGUAUAUUUUUAAAAUGCAAAUGAAAAAUGGAAAAAUGAUUAAUAAAUGUGGCAAAUAAAUUAUUGAAAAAUUUUGAAA